This 246-nucleotide ribosomal RNA is filed under the name uncultured bacterium. RNAcentral describes it as "partial 16S ribosomal RNA". It matches the Rfam family "Bacterial small subunit ribosomal RNA", at positions 355 to 591 of the family's 1533-position model. The record is from RNAcentral.
UCGAGAAUCUUCCACAAUGGCCGAAAGUCUGAUGGAGCGACGCCGCGUGAGUGAUGAAGGCCCUACGGGUUGUAAAACUCUGUCAGGAGAGAAGAAUCGCCGGGGUGCCAAUACCACCCUGGUCUGACGUUAUCUCCAGAGGAAGCUCCGGCUAACUCCGUGCCAGCAGCCGCGGUAAUACGGGGGGAGCAAGCGUUGUCCGGAAUUAUUGGGCGUAAAGGGCGUGUAGGCGGCCUGGUCAGUCGA